CAGUAGCCACGGUAAAACGAAGGGUGCAAGCGUUACUCGGAAUUACUGGGCGUAAAGCGUGCGUAGGUGGUGGUUUAAGUCCGUUGUGAAAGCCCUGGGCUCAACCUGGGAAUUGCAGUGGAUACUGGAUCACUAGAGUGUGGUAGAGGAUAGUGGAAUUUCCGGUGUAGCAGUGAAAUGCGUAGAGAUCGGAAGGAACAUCUGUGGCGAAGGCGACUAUCUGGGCCAACACUGACACUGAGGCACGAAAGCGUGGGGAGCAAACAGGAUUAGAUACCCCCGUAGUCCCUGUCUCUUAUAC
RNAcentral lists this ribosomal RNA (301 nucleotides) under uncultured bacterium. Its description in RNAcentral is "partial 16S ribosomal RNA". It matches the Rfam family "Bacterial small subunit ribosomal RNA", at positions 509 to 807 of the family's 1533-position model. The record is from RNAcentral.